Molecule: non-coding RNA, 520 nt
Organism: Xiphophorus couchianus (Monterrey platyfish)
Lineage: Eukaryota; Metazoa; Chordata; Actinopteri; Cyprinodontiformes; Poeciliidae
Source: the annotation of a RefSeq genome assembly
AUGAUUUUCCUCACCCUGUGUGAAGCAGAGGAGAGUCCAGAUGAGGACGCAGAUCAAAGUCAUGUUUUUGAUGAGGAGGAUUUCUGUGUCUUCUGUUGUGAUGAAGGACAGCUGUCAGUCAUCCAGAGUUCAACUUUUGUAUCACUGUGGUGGACUUUUGGUGGAGGAACCAGGCUGGAUGUUGGAAGUGAUACCCGCCCCACCCUGACAGUGCUGCCCCCCUCCAGUGUGGAGCUGCAGCAGCAGCAGGUUACCCUCAUGUGUCUGGCCAACAAGGGCUUCCCCUCAGACUGGACUCUGUCCUGGAAGCUGGACGGCAGCAGCAGCAGCAGCAGCAGCUGGGAGCAGAGCAGGAGCCCCGGGGUGCUGCAGAAUGACGGCCUCUACAGCUGGAGCAGCACCCUGAGGCUCCCUGCAGACCAGUGGAGGAAGGUGGGCUCUGUGACCUGUGAGGCCUCCCAGGGCUCCCAGUCUGCAGUCACAGAGACACUGAGGAGAGACCAGUGUUCCCAGUCCUGAC